Molecule: ribosomal RNA, 468 nt
Filed under: uncultured bacterium
Lineage: Bacteria
Description: partial 16S ribosomal RNA
Rfam family: Bacterial small subunit ribosomal RNA
Source: RNAcentral
GACGAACGCUGGCGGCGUGCUUAACACAUGCAAGUCGAACGGAAAGGCCCUGCUUUUGUGGGGUGCUCGAGUGGCGAACGGGUGAGUAACACGUGAGUAACCUGCCCUUGACUUUGGGAUAACUUCAGGAAACUGGGGCUAAUACCGGAUAGGAGCUCCUGCUGCAUGGUGGGGGUUGGAAAGUUUCGGCGGUUGGGGAUGGACUGGCGGCUUAUCAGCUUGUUGGUGGGGUAGUGGCUUACCAAGGCGUUGACGGGUAGCCGGCCUGAGAGGGUGACCGGCCACAUUGGGACUGAGAUACGGCCCAGACUCCUACGGGAGGCAGCAGUGGGGAAUAUUGCACAAUGGGCGGAAGCCUGAUGCAGCAACGCCGCGUGCGGGAUGACGGCCUUCGGGUUGUAAACCGCUUUCGCCUGUGACGAAGCGUGAGUGACGGUAAUGGGUGAAGAAGCACCGGCUAACUACGUG